RNAcentral lists this ribosomal RNA (603 nucleotides) under Gillisella vitis. Its description in RNAcentral is "bacterial SSU rRNA". It matches the Rfam family "Bacterial small subunit ribosomal RNA", at positions 74 to 719 of the family's 1533-position model. Lineage: Bacteria; Pseudomonadati; Pseudomonadota; Alphaproteobacteria; Hyphomicrobiales; Rhizobiaceae. The record is from RNAcentral.
GCCUCGCAAGAGGAGCGGCAGACGGGUGAGUAACGCGUGGGAAUCUACCGUACCCUACGGAAUAGCUCCGGGAAACUGGAAUUAAUACCGUAUACGCCCUUUGGGGGAAAGAUUUAUCGGGGUAUGAUGAGCCCGCGUUGGAUUAGCUAGUUGGUGGGGUAAAGGCCUACCAAGGCGACGAUCCAUAGCUGGUCUGAGAGGAUGAUCAGCCACAUUGGGACUGAGACACGGCCCAAACUCCUACGGGAGGCAGCAGUGGGGAAUAUUGGACAAUGGGCGCAAGCCUGAUCCAGCCAUGCCGCGUGAGUGAUGAAGGUCUUAGGAUUGUAAAGCUCUUUCACCGAUGAAGAUAAUGACGGUAGUCGGAGAAGAAGCCCCGGCUAACUUCGUGCCAGCAGCCGCGGUAAUACGAAGGGGGCUAGCGUUGUUCGGAAUUACUGGGCGUAAAGCGCACGUAGGCGGAUAAUUAAGUCAGGGGUGAAAUCCCGCAGCUCAACUGCGGAACUGCCUUUGAUACUGGUUAUCUUGAGUAUGGAAGAGGUAAGUGGAAUUGCGAGUGUAGAGGUGAAAUUCGUAGAUAUUCGCAGGAACACCAGUGGCGAA